This 205-nucleotide unclassified non-coding RNA is filed under the name Glomeraceae sp. RNAcentral describes it as "partial contains 5.8S ribosomal RNA and internal transcribed spacer 2". The stretch from base 1 to 72 matches the Rfam family "5.8S ribosomal RNA", at positions 84 to 154 of the family's 154-position model. Lineage: Eukaryota; Fungi; Glomeromycota; Glomeromycetes; Glomerales; Glomeraceae. The record is from RNAcentral.
GUGAAUCAUCGAAUUUUUGAACGCAAAUUGCACUCUCCGGGUUUCCGGGAGAGGAUGCCUGUUUGAGGGUCAGCCUAAAAAAAAUCGACAUUGUUGCUGUUAUUUAAUGGUGACGUUCGUCGUAGUUUGGGUUAUCUUAAACCUUUUUUUUUUUUGGUUUUAGUUACGUAAAUUUUUUGUACAUGAUUUCUUUUUUUUUUCUAAG